AGCACUAUUUUUAAACCUGUGGAUGGGAUUUCCCUCCACCAUAGGUUACGCUGUAGUGCAAAAUUAAUUCCUUGGCACUCUUCUGAGCACAGCUGACCUUGUGCCAUUUGGUUGAUGCUACUCUAAGCUAAGGAACAGAA
RNAcentral lists this small nucleolar RNA (140 nucleotides) under Pelusios castaneus (West African mud turtle). RNAcentral describes it as "Small nucleolar RNA SNORA46 (ENSPCEG00000009966.1)". It matches the Rfam family "Small nucleolar RNA SNORA46". Rfam says of the family: ACA46 is a member of the H/ACA class of snoRNA that guide the sites of modification of uridines to pseudouridines. Lineage: Eukaryota; Metazoa; Chordata; Testudines; Pelomedusidae. The record is from Rfam by way of RNAcentral.